Molecule: non-coding RNA, 28 nt
Filed under: Mus musculus (house mouse)
Lineage: Eukaryota; Metazoa; Chordata; Mammalia; Rodentia; Muridae
Source: RNAcentral
UAGUACCCAUCAGGUGACAGAUGAGUGU